ACGCUCGACACCUACAGGAGGCAGCAGUGGGGAAUAUUGCACAAUGGGGGAAACCCUGAUGCAGCGACGCCGCGUGAGCGAAGAAGUAUUUCGGUAUGUAAAGCUCUAUCAGCAGGGAAGAAACUGACGGUACCUGACUAAGAAGCACCGGCUAAAUACGUGCAGCAGCCGCGGUAAUCUGAGGCGGGCUGGCAAGGC
This 198-nucleotide ribosomal RNA is filed under the name uncultured bacterium. RNAcentral's name for it is "partial 16S ribosomal RNA". It matches the Rfam family "Bacterial small subunit ribosomal RNA", at positions 328 to 539 of the family's 1533-position model. The record is from RNAcentral.